GACGAACGCUGGCGGCGUGCUUAACACAUGCGAGUCGAACGAUGAACCCGGAGCUUGCUCCGGCGGAUUAGUGGCGAACGGGUGAGUAACACGUGAGUAACCUGCCCUUGACUCUGGGAUAACUGCUAGAAAUGGUAGCUAAUACCGGAUACGACCCUCGGUGGCAUCACCAGGGGGUGGAAAGAAUUUCGGUCAAGGAUGGACUCGCGGCCUAUCAGCUAGUUGGUGAGGUAACGGCUCACCAAGGCGACGACGGGUAGCCGGCCUGAGAGGGGGACCGGCCACACUGGGACUGAGACACGGCCCAGACUCCUACGGGAGGCAGCAGGGGGGAAUAUUGCACAAUGGGCGCAAGCCUGAUGCAGCAACGCCGCGUGAGGGAUGACGGCCUUCGGGUUGUAAACCUCUUUUAGUAGGGAAGAAGCGAAAGUGACGGUACCUGCAGAAAAAGCACCGGCUAACUACGUGCCAGCCGCCGCCGUAA
This 484-nucleotide ribosomal RNA is filed under the name uncultured bacterium. Its description in RNAcentral is "partial 16S ribosomal RNA". It matches the Rfam family "Bacterial small subunit ribosomal RNA", at positions 28 to 523 of the family's 1533-position model. The record is from RNAcentral.